AACCAACCAGUAUCAACAGAAGUUCACCUUCCCCCACUAUUUCCAGGCUGUUCAUCCACAGCAGAUAGCUCUGAACCCUUGGAAUCGCCUUAAGGAAAAUACUUACCCAUUCAUUCUCACUUUGGCUUGAUUGGAAAAAUCAUUUCUAUAUAGUUUCUUCAUCUAUCAUAUCACCUCAUACCAAUAUGUUGACUGCUUCUUGAAAGGGCAACACUCCUGAGCCAAAGGAAGAUUGUGUAACACUGUUUGUAUUCCUCCUUUCGGUUCAUGUUGGAUAUGCUAGAUCUGGAUUGCGGUAUCAUUUUAACUGUAUCGACGAUUAACUGAAGUCUGCAGCAUGAUGGCUGAGUCACAGAACCCCACAUCUCUUGCCAAAACAUUAAAAUUUCAGAUG
Molecule: long non-coding RNA, 394 nt
Organism: Neofelis nebulosa (Clouded leopard)
Lineage: Eukaryota; Metazoa; Chordata; Mammalia; Carnivora; Felidae
Exons: 2
Source: RefSeq, a predicted model, not a curated record